UAACACCUGCGUCACGAGUGGCAAUCACGUUUAUUGGGCCUAAAGCGUUCGUAGCCGGAUUAAUCAGUCUUGGGUGAAAUCGUUGCGCUUAACAAAACGACGUGCUUGAGAUACUGUUAGUCUAGAGACCGGGAGGCGUUAGAAGUAUUCCAGGGGGAGCGGUAAAAUGUUAUAAUCCCUGGAGGACUACCUGUGGCGAAGGCGUCUAACGAGAACGGGUCUGACGGUCAGGAACGAAAGCUAGGGGAGCAAACCGGAUUAGAUACCCGAGUAGCCCUAGCCGUAAACGCUGUGUACUAGAUGUUGCAUAAUCUAUAAGGUUGUGCAGUGUCGGAGCGAAGGCGUUAAGUACACCGCCUGGGAAGUACGGUCGCAAGGCUG
This 381-nucleotide ribosomal RNA is filed under the name uncultured euryarchaeote. RNAcentral describes it as "bacterial SSU rRNA". It matches the Rfam family "Archaeal small subunit ribosomal RNA", at positions 471 to 851 of the family's 1478-position model. Lineage: Archaea; Methanobacteriati; Methanobacteriota. The record is from RNAcentral.